Molecule: ribosomal RNA, 690 nt
Filed under: Coleps hirtus
Lineage: Eukaryota; Ciliophora; Prostomatea; Prorodontida; Colepidae
Description: SSU rRNA
Rfam family: Eukaryotic small subunit ribosomal RNA
Source: RNAcentral
AGGCAGCAGGCGCGUAAAUUACCCAAUCCUAAUUCAGGGAGGUAGUGACAAGAAAUAACAAACCGGGUUCUUACGAACUUUGGGAUUGCAAUGAGCACAAUUUAAAUCUCUUAGCAAGGAACAAUUGGAGGGCAAGUCUGGUGCCAGCAGCCGCGGUAAUUCCAGCUCCAAUAGCGUAUAUUAAAGUUGUUGCAGUUAAAAAGCUCGUAGUUGAACUUCUGGGCGUCUGUACAGCGGCUCCGGUCGAGGUAUAGGCGUUCAUCCGUCUGAGAACCAUAUACGGCCUUUAGUGGUCGGUGUGAGGAUCAGGCACUUUACUUUGAAAAAAUUAGAGUGUUCCAGGCAGGCAAUCGCCUUGAAUACACAAGCAUGGAAUAAUGGAAUAGGACUAUGGUCCAUUUUGUUGGUUAUUGGGCUAUAGUAAUGAUUAACAGGAACGGCCGGGGUGAUUUGUAUUUAAUAGUCAGAGGUGAAAUUCUUGGAUUUAUUAAAGACAAACUAAAGCGAACGCUUUUCACAAGAGCGUUUUCAUUAAUCAAGAACGAAAGUUAGGGGAUCAAAGACGAUCAGAUACCGUCCUAGUCUUAACCAUAAACUAUUCCGACUAGGGAUUGGUCGGGUCUUUCAAGCCCGAUCAGCACCUUAUGAGAAAUCAAAGUCUUUGGGUUCCGGGGGGAGUAUGGUCGCAGG